RNAcentral lists this ribosomal RNA (440 nucleotides) under uncultured bacterium. RNAcentral's name for it is "partial 16S ribosomal RNA". It matches the Rfam family "Bacterial small subunit ribosomal RNA", at positions 338 to 795 of the family's 1533-position model. The record is from RNAcentral.
CCUACGGGCGGCAGCAGUGGGGAAUAUUGCACAAUGGGGGAAACCCUGAUGCAGCGACGCCGCGUGAGUGAAGAAGUAAUUCGGUAUGUAAAGCUCUAUCAGCAGGGAAGAAAAUGACGGUACCUGACUAAGAAGCCCCGGCUAACUACGUGCCAGCAGCCGCGGUAAUACGUAGGGGGCAAGCGUUAUCCGGAUUUACUGGGUGUAAAGGGAGCGUAGGCGGCAUUGCAAGUCAGAAGUGAAAGCCCGGGGCUCAACCCGGGGACUGCUUUUGAAACUGUUUGGCUGGAGUGCAGGAGAGGGAAGCGGAAUUCCUAGUGUAGCGGUGAAAUGCGUAGAUAUUAGGAGGAACACCAGUGGCGAAGGCGGCUUACUGGACUGUAACUGACGUUGAGGCUCGAAAGCGUGGGGAGCAAACAGGAUUAGAUACCCCAGUAGUC